GAGAGCAUGAGCAGGGGAGGGGCGGAGAGAGAGGGAGACACAGGAUCCGAAGCAGGCUGUCCGCACAGAGCCCCAUGCAGGGCUCGAACCCACGAACUGCGAGAUCAUGACCUGAGCGGAAGUUGGAGGCUUAACCGCCUGAGCCCCCCCAGGCGCCCCUCUUACUGUGUUUUUACCGGAGCAAGUGUGAGCCUUGGCUUUCUCUCACUUCUCCCCUAGACCUCGGCUGGUCAGCCACACACACUCUGGCGACGCAACUGGAGUUUUAUCAAGGCUCCGUGUCAGGGUGUGACAUUUCACAGGAACAUGCUGUAGGGAUCCCUUGCUUUCUGUGAAAGCUCCUUGUGCAGAGACGCCACCCUUGCGUGGGGAAGGAGACCUACCUGCUCUGUCCCGUGGUGUCCUCCCUGGCGACUCCUCUCCUCAGCUGCAGCCACUUUGGCUUUUCAGGACUGGAAAAUGUCUCGGGAACUGCGCCUCUUCCCGAAGCUUGAAACCAUUUGUUCUCUGAUGCGCGGUCACUGGUGCUCCGUUUGUCCCCAAAGCGGAUGUCAUCGUGGCUCCACCAAAAUCCUAUCAAGACCUUGUCGGGGGAGGCUCGAUGGGCACGUGGCCUGUGCAGGUGCUGCACGAUCAAUGAUCUGUGGACCUCCUCGUAAACUUCUCAAUCCUUAGGGCGCCUGCGUGGCUCAGUCGGUUAAGCGUCUCACUUCGGCUCAGGUCACGAUCUCUCGGUUUGUGAGUUCGAGCCCCGCGUCGGGCUCUGUGCUGACGGCUCGGAGCCUGGAGCCUGUUUCGGAUUCUGUGUCUCCCUCUCUCUCUGCUCCUCCCCUGCUCAUACUCUGUCUCUCUCUGUCUCAAAAAUAAAUAAAACAUUAAAAGAUAAUAAUAAUAAUUUCCAAAAAAAAAAAAAAAAGAAAGAAAGUCUUAAUCCUUUGUGAACAAGAGGCCCUGGGCCCAGAAAGUUAUGUAGCUUAGUUUGGACAUUGGUCCUUAGUUUGGACAUUGGUUAACUGUGUCAUAAAGUAAACCAAGAAACAGAAAAUCCAAAAACGAAACCAAAAAACUAUGACUUUUAUAUUUCUUUUACUAAAUUCCGUUUACAGAAAUAACCCCGGAUUCUAUGUAAACGAGAUAAAAAUGUUUUCAUCCACGACCAUUGUAUUUAGGAAAAACGUGCUCCCUAAAGACGCAGGAAGCUGUUGUGGAAGGAGUAUAGUUCCAAGAGAGUCGGAGGCGUCCACGUUCAGCCCUCAGCUCUGCUGCAUUUGCCGUCUCAGGGGCUCAGCUCCCUGGGCUGGGGGCGACCGGUCCCUCCUGCAGGGCAUCCUGAGGAGACAGGGUGAUGGGAGACGUUCGCAGAGGACCCGGCACGUAGCAGUUUCAGGCUUUUAUUUUUCCAUUUCUACAGUCUGUUACAGAAUCUGCUCAGUGAGGAAGGGAAGAGAAACCGAGUCGGUCGGGCCUCCUCCUCGGAACCUUUGUGAGGCCAGCUGGCCGGAGGGAAGCGGCCUUAGGUUCGGGGCGAUGCCGGGGCCCCAGCGGCUCCAAGAGCAGGCAGAGCCCUGUUCUCGGAGAAGUUCACGUUCCGCUGCGAAGCUCAGCUGCCAGGUCCACCGAAUGUGCGCACGUUAGAAAUCGCACAAGAACCCGGAGCAGACAACACGCGUGGGAGAAAACUCAGCCCUGGACCCCCAAACCCACCCCGCAUCGAUGAGCUAGUUGGGGCCCAGAAGCUCCCGGGAAAUGAAGCUUGAAUCGUGUGAGAAUCCAGGCGUGGGGUCAAGUCUGAGCUCCGCCGCCUGGGUGACUUCAGUGAAUCACUUCUGCCUCAGUUUCCCCAAAGUUGGAGAGAGUGGUGGCGGUGAAUAACGGCCCCGGCCUCCCAGGGCCACGGAGGGCAGGAGAUCCGCUGAGGGGUCUGCCACCUCCACCCCCACCCCGGUCCCCGCAACUCUCACCGAGGACAACUUCCUCCAGUGGGGAAACAAGUGGCCUGGGCGGCAGAGAGACCAGAACCCCCACCCCCACCUGUGCUCGUGGCAGCACAGGAGACCGGUGCAUUCGGGAGAGGAGCCGUGGGUCCCCGCACUCCAAACGGAAGGGUCUGGCUUCCGGGCCAAGGAUAACGUUCCUCCCUCCAUCAGCGAUGCCAGUGAAUAACCCAGCACUGAAACCCCGGCCAAAGGACUGGGGACAGGGGAGGGCCCCACCCCUCACACCCUCAUCGUCCGCGAUCACCUCCCAGGGAGCUCCCCUUCGCUGGACCCCGCCCGGGGUGUCCUCACCAUCCGUCCUGGGACCCAGCCCCAUGUCCCCGCCCUGCUCUCGCUGGAAAAAGGGAAAAGAGAUAGGUUUGUUCUUAUUCGUUUAUGAAAAGAAAAACACGUGCUACAGAAAAUUUGGAAAUACGGGAAAGCCCCAAACAAGAAAACAAAAAUUACCCACGAGAUAAUUACUAGGUACAUUUCGACGGAAGUCCUUCUGGUGUUUUCCAAGCCAGCCAUGUAUACGUGCUGCAUAUAUGUGUGUAGGAUUAUACUAUAGGUUAUUUCACAACCGUUUUGUUCAAUAUGUCCUAAGCAUUUCGUGUCACCAAAUAGUAACCUCUAUAGGAUUUGGAAAAUAAAUACCAAGAAUUUUAAAAUUAA
Long non-coding RNA from Neofelis nebulosa (Clouded leopard), 2651 nucleotides. RefSeq lists it as uncharacterized. Lineage: Eukaryota; Metazoa; Chordata; Mammalia; Carnivora; Felidae. The record is from RefSeq and is a predicted model, not a curated record. The transcript has 2 exons.